Molecule: long non-coding RNA, 517 nt
Filed under: Rattus norvegicus (Norway rat)
Lineage: Eukaryota; Metazoa; Chordata; Mammalia; Rodentia; Muridae
Description: long non-coding RNA NONRATT011991
Source: RNAcentral
CAUGACUCAUGCUGAUGCUCAGGACAGGAUCAAAGCAGCAUCUUACCAGUUGUGUCUCAAGAUUGACAGGGCAGAAACUCGCUUAUGGUCCCCGCAGGUGUCGGAAGAUGGGAAAGCGCAUCCCUUUAAAAUCAACCUAGAGGCUGAACCGCAGGUAAGACGUUAAGAGGAAGUGAUGUCACAUCACAGUUCCGGUUCAGGGUGGAGUAGCUCCCUGGGGGAGGGGAAGGGGAAGAAGUAUCAAAUCGGAAACUCAGAGCAAGUCACCUGUGAAGCUGUGAUUGGUCUCUGUGAGAUUAAUUCCUAGGAUUCCUGUGUCCUUACAUCUAGGGAGAAACAGAGUGUCCCUAGGUAAAUAUCUCUCUUUAAAGAUUGAGUAUAUUCUCUGCUGGGCAUGUUAGUGCAUGUCUGUGGUCCCAGAGCUUAGGAGACAGAGGCAGAUUGCUGAAAGGUCAAUGCCAGUCCAAAACAGAAAGUUCCAGGCCAACUAGGGAUGCAUAUUGGGGCCAUGCCAUAC